This 119-nucleotide ribosomal RNA is filed under the name Triticum aestivum (bread wheat). RNAcentral also lists the same sequence under 1 other name. The record is from RNAcentral. Lineage: Eukaryota; Viridiplantae; Streptophyta; Magnoliopsida; Poales; Poaceae.
AGAUGCGAUCAUACCAGCACUAAAGCACCGGAUGCCAUCAGAACUCUGAAGUUAAGCGUGCUUGGGCGAGAGUAGUACUAGGAUGGGUGACCUCCUUGGAAGUCCUCGUGUUGCAUUCC